Enterococcus sp. is the source of this 176-nucleotide non-coding RNA. The record is from Rfam. Lineage: Bacteria; Bacillati; Bacillota; Bacilli; Lactobacillales; Enterococcaceae.
UUUAUUAUGAUACAAUAAAAGAACAGAGAAGUUAUGACGGUGGCUACUUCUGAAAGGUGGUGGUGCUUAUGAAUGUAAGUGCUGAAAUCUUUAGAGAGGAGAAUGCCUUUUGUCCGCAUUGGAAACAAUUCAGCUGAUUUUAAGCUUUGGUAUGUUUACCAUCGCUUUAAUCAAAC